AACGAACGCUGGCGGCAGGCCUAACACAUGCAAGUCGAACGCCGUAGCAAUACGGAGUGGCAGACGGGUGAGUAACACGUGGGAACGUACCCUUCGGUUCGGAAUAACUCAGGGAAACUUGAGCUAAAACCGGAUACGUCCGAGAGGAGAAAGAUUUAUCGCCGAGGGAUCGGCCCGCGUCUGAUUAGCUUGUUGGUGAGGUAACGGCUCACCAAGGCGACGAUCAGUAGCUGGUCUGAGAGGAUGAUCAGCCACAUUGGGACUGAGACACGGCCCAAACUCCUACGGGAGGCAGCAGUGGGGAAUAUUGGACAAUGGGCGCAAGCCUGAUCCAGCCAUGCCGCGUGAGUGAUGAAGGCCCUAGGGUUGUAAAGCUCUUUUUACCCGGGAAGAUAAUGACUGUACCGGGAGAAUAAGCCCCGGCUAACUCCGUGCCAGCAGCCGCCGU
RNAcentral lists this ribosomal RNA (448 nucleotides) under uncultured bacterium. RNAcentral describes it as "bacterial SSU rRNA". It matches the Rfam family "Bacterial small subunit ribosomal RNA", at positions 29 to 521 of the family's 1533-position model. The record is from RNAcentral.